This 253-nucleotide ribosomal RNA is filed under the name uncultured bacterium. RNAcentral describes it as "partial 16S ribosomal RNA". It matches the Rfam family "Bacterial small subunit ribosomal RNA", at positions 524 to 776 of the family's 1533-position model. The record is from RNAcentral.
UACGUAGGGUGCAAGCGUUGUCCGGAAUUAUUGGGCGUAAAGAGCUCGUAGGCGGUUUGUCGCGUCUGCUGUGAAAACUGGAGGCUCAACCUCCAGCCUGCAGUGGGUACGGGCAGACUAGAGUGCGGUAGGGGAGAUUGGAAUUCCUGGUGUAGCGGUGGAAUGCGCAGAUAUCGGGAGGAACACCGAUGGCGAAGGCAGAUCUCUGGGCCGUAACUGACGCUGAGGAGCGAAAGCAUGGGGAGCGAACAGG